RNAcentral lists this long non-coding RNA (566 nucleotides) under Mytilus galloprovincialis (Mediterranean mussel). Lineage: Eukaryota; Metazoa; Mollusca; Bivalvia; Mytilida; Mytilidae. The record is from RNAcentral.
AAACCGAUUACGCAAAGUCAUCUGUAAAAGGCCCGAAAAUGGUGAAUGUAAAACAAUUCAAACAAGCAAUCAAACGGUCAGAUUUAUGAACAAAACAAUGAACAAAUAUGAUAUACAGCAACACUGUGUAUGCAGAGAAACUAAUGUCUCUGUUCUUCAAUUUGGAUAAGUAUAAGAUUGAAUUGUCACCCUAUUAAUACUCUGCUGAGCAAGUCUGUUCUCAUUAAACCUAGUUUAUAAUAAGGUUAUUUAGUCCCAAAAAUUAAUAGUGAUUUUUGCGUUUACAAAAAUUCUUAGCGGACAUACGACUUGAAAGACGGAGAGAGAAAAAUGGAAACUACAGUUCUGCGCAUGCUAUCAAUACGUGGCCCUUGAUAUCAUUUUUUUUUCGUGAACAUAGACAAUAAUAGUGCAUUGACUUGACAUAUCAACGAUAUAAGGAUGAGGCUUAGAAACGGGGAAAUGCGAGGAUGUGCCGAGCUUUUUCCCCGUUUCGGGCCGAAUCCUUAUAGCAUUGAUAUGUCAAGUCAAUGCACUAUUAUUGUCUUUAUACUGCAAUCUAAAAA